Molecule: ribosomal RNA, 469 nt
Filed under: uncultured bacterium
Lineage: Bacteria
Description: partial 16S ribosomal RNA
Rfam family: Bacterial small subunit ribosomal RNA
Source: RNAcentral
GACGAACGCUGGCGGCGUGCUUAACACAUGCCAGUCGAACGGAAAGGCCCUGCUUGCAGGGUGCUCGAGUGGCGAACGGGUGAGUAACACGUGGGUGAUCUGCCCCUUAUUUUGGGAUAAGCCUGGGAAACUGGGUCUAAUACUGGAUAGGACCAUGCUGUAGGUGGUGUGGUGGAAAGAUUAGUUUCGGUAAGGGAUGAGCUCGCGGCCUAUCAGCUUGUUGGUGGGGUAAUGGCCUACCAAGGCGUCGACGGGUAGCCGGCCUGAGAGGGUGGACGGCCACAUUGGGACUGAGAUACGGGCCAGACUCCUACGGGAGGCAGCAGUGGGGAAUAUUGCACAAUGGGCGCAAGCCUGAUGCAGCGACGCCGCGUGGGGGAUGACGGCCUUCGGGUUGUAAACUCCUUUCAGCCAUGACGAAGCCCUUGUGGUGACGGUAGUGGUAGAAGAAGCACCGGCUAACUACGUG